UAUAAAAAUUUAUUAAAAUAUGGUAAAUAAUUAUUUAAAUAUAAUAAAUUUUAUCGCAACGAGGAUGCGCUGGGGGAUGUGGUUGAAGCAAGUCUUCGACAAAAUGAAAAGUGCAUACUGAGUCUACCGAAGCUGGUCAUAAUUGUUAUGCGACAUUUCUUUGCCUUUUUCAAUAAUUUCUUGGAAUUCUCGAAGAAGAACAUGAUGAAUCCAUACAACUUGGCAGUCUGCUUCAAUUCAAUAUUGAUGCCUGUUUCCGAGGACAAGAAUCAGGUUCAAGAGUAAUUAUGACGCUCUGCGAAAUUUUUUCGGAGGAUAUCGGUGCUGGUCAAUAAAAAAAUACAUCAGCAGGGAAUCUAACGAUGUGAACGUAGGACACUCGCCAACGGAUUAGGUACAGGAAAACAUGAAUUCAGAGGUCUAUCCAUCCAAGACGAUAAUGCAUUUCUCGAAUCAGCACAUUGUACUCGAAUCGUAAUUAACAAACUUAUAAGCUGUACUGUAAUAUCACGAGGAAAUUUAUUGGCUUAAUUGCACCAAGCUACAACAAACACACACACACACAAAACACACACACAUACACACACACACACGCACACACAAAGGAAGAGAGUGUGCAUGUAUGUAUGUUUCUAAGUAAUCACCAUACUUAUCACUUUAAGUUAGUUCAGUCUAGGCAAUUUUUUUAUUCUGAUGUAAACUACAUAACUUGCACAUGCAAUUACAUGAUUUCAUCUUUUCUCUCCAUUUUCGUUAAACUUCUUAACAGCUAAAAAUAUUUUCUUAGAAAUAAAAAUAAAAAUCUUGGUAAAAAUAAAUUUUUUAGUUAAACAACUGCUGCUUAUGUGACUUCUAUGAUAUGCAAUCUACCCAGUAAGCAGAUGUCACAUGUCAGCAUUCUUUAUCUUUUGUUCCAAAUUGCAUAUUCAAAUUUUUUCAAUGUUUGAAAUAUACUAUGAAACAUCUAAAAAGUUUGAUGACAAAAAAUGAGAUUACUGAUUGGAGUGCACAAACUAAUCUGAUGAUGUAAAAGUUAAAAAAUUUGUGUCUAGGCCACAAACAUAUCUUGACAAGAAUGCUGAUUACGUAGAAAAUAAUUAAAUAUGUAUACUAAGAAUAUUUUUACUCAAUUUUGUAAUAUUCUGUUUUG
Linepithema humile (Argentine ant) is the source of this 1150-nucleotide non-coding RNA. The record is from RefSeq and is a predicted model, not a curated record. Lineage: Eukaryota; Metazoa; Arthropoda; Insecta; Hymenoptera; Formicidae.